This 497-nucleotide ribosomal RNA is filed under the name uncultured bacterium. RNAcentral describes it as "partial 16S ribosomal RNA". It matches the Rfam family "Bacterial small subunit ribosomal RNA", at positions 28 to 507 of the family's 1533-position model. The record is from RNAcentral.
GAUGAACGCUGGCGGCGUGCCUAAUACAUGCAAGUCGAGCGAACAGACGAGGAGCUUGCUCCUCUGACGUUAGCGGCGGACGGGUGAGUAACACGUGGAUAACCUACCUAUAAGACUGGGAUAACUUCGGGAAACCGGAGCUAGUACCGGAUAAUAUAUUGAACCGCAUGGUUCAAUAGUGAAAGACGGUUUUGCUGUCACUUAUAGCUGGAUCCGCGCCGCAUUAGCUAGUUGGUAAGGUAACGGCUUACCAAGGCAACGAUGCGUAGCCGACCUGAGAGGGUGAUCGGCCACACUGGAACUGAGACACGGUCCAGACUCCUACGGGAGGCAGCAGUAGGGAAUCUUCCGCAAUGGGCGAAAGCCUGACGGAGCAACGCCGCGUGAGUGAUGAAGGUCUUCGGAUCGUAAAACUCUGUUAUUAGGGAAGAACAAAUGUGUAAGUAACUAUGCACGUCUUGACGGUACCUAAUCAGAAAGCCACGGCUAACUACGUG